Long non-coding RNA from Oreochromis niloticus (Nile tilapia), 3244 nucleotides. RefSeq lists it as uncharacterized. The transcript is spliced from 2 exons. Lineage: Eukaryota; Metazoa; Chordata; Actinopteri; Cichliformes; Cichlidae. The record is from RefSeq and is a predicted model, not a curated record.
UGUUGACCAACAUACCGAAGAGUUUAUGUAACGGAGAUCAAUUAUUAAUAGAUUUUAACUUGAAGCUAUUAUAUUUUUCUUGUUGCUUUAGGUGAUUUAUGCCUGAUUUUUCAUCUACAUGCACAAUUUAAAGAAUAAAGCGUCUUCCCAGCUCGGGGUCCGCUGCGUGUCUUCUCCAUUUCCAUCGAUCUUGGGUGUCCUCUGGGGUGAGAGCCACUGUGCGCAUGUCUUCGGUGAUUGCGUCCAUCCACCACUUCUUCGGCCUUCCGCGCGGUCGGCGGCCUCCAGGGUCGAGUCGGAGGGCUGUUCUUGACACCGAAUUCUCCUCACUGCGCAUGACGUGUCCAUACCACCAUAGGCGCACUUCCCUCAUCUUCUUUUCCAUUGGGGCAAGUCAGAGUCGUUUUUGAACAGCUUCAUUCGUCACACGAUGCAGCCGGGUCAAGCCCACCAUCCACCCGAGCAUCUUCAUCUCCAUAGCACUGAUGAUCUGCUCGUGUUUCUUAGUGGCUGGCCAGCAUUCUGCUCCAUCUAGGGCCACUGGCCGUAUGACUGUCUUGUAGAUCUUAUGAUGAUGGACUAUCUUCUUUGGCCUGCUCCGUCUUUGAGCAGAUAGCCUUUGUGUAUUUCUCACGUUGCUCCGGCGAGGAGGGACGCCCUAUCAUGUUUUUUUAAAGAGGUGGACAAAGUUACACUCAGGCAAAUCUGGCAAGUGAAACAGGUGGUGAGCUAAGCCAAGGCUUUGUUUGAGUGUCAAAAGACAUUGUCCCUCGGGUUUGUCAAAACAUUAUAUCAGAACUCCACCUUGAUCUUCUUCCUCUGGGGAAUGGAUUCAUGGUGUACAACAAUGUGGAUGUUGACCAACAUGCUCCUGGUCUCGCUGGCUGAUAUGCUGGAAUGCUUGGAAAAUGUGGACACUUCAACUGAAAAGUGCCUUCAUCACCAGAUAGAUAGAUAGAUAGAUAGAUAGAUAGAUAGUUUGGCAUAAUACAUAAUUUACAGACAUAAUUUCAAUAUUACAGUCAAGAAAAAAAUCUAAGGAGAAUAAGGAAUGCGCCUUUCUAAAAUUAGACUGAAAUGAUACCUUGAGUUCCUGCAAUUUUUGUAACCUCAGUAGGAUUUCGCUCUUUCAGAAGAAUAAGCUUGGCAGUAAUAACUUUUUUAUUGUGAAAAAUUUCCCAAAGUCUCACUGUGCCACAGUUCUGCAUUGCUGCCCAGAAACUAUUCUCCAUUAUUCUCUGUUCCACAAAUAUUUCACUCAUUACCAUGAAUACAAGUGAAGACCCACUCCAUUCUACCCCACCUUCUUUUCAGCCUAUGUUUGUGGCAGUUUGUUUGUUUGUUUGUUUGUUUUUGUUUUUGAGAGAAGGUGUGGCUUGUUUCCAAUCAUCAGCACUGGCAACAGGCGUGCCCAAUGAGCCAGAGCUCUACAAAAGCCUUCAUAGCUUAGUUUCUGUGUGAGAACCUUUUAAGGAUUCCAGUUGCUGUUUGGUUUGUUUUCUUGCGCUAAACAACAUUGCAUACAGUAUCUUUGCACUCAUGCACUCACUCACGCCACUAAUACUAAUGACUGAUGGUUAGUUUAAGGUCUUUCUUUGUUUCUUUAACCCUCUGGACUUGGCUAAUGCACUGGCACAGUCAAAUCAAUCAAUUUAAAGUGACGUAGCAGCUUCGCUGAAUUUCUAUUUCAGCUUGUGUCGAAUGUGCAGACUUCAAACUAUAAACCAGUUUUUAUUCCUAACAAUGCAGUUAUGUGGACUUUAUUGACAGUUUGAUGUUCCUACAAACAUUUGUGAAAGAACGGGCCACUCUCAGGAGCUUAGUGAAUUCCAGCGCUGUAAUGUGAUUGGAUGCCACCUGUGAAACAAGUCCAGUCAUGACAUUUCCUCACUACUAAAUAUUCCACAGUCAACAGUCAGUGGUAUUAUAACAAACUGAAAUGAUUGGGAACAACAGCAGCAAAACCACGAAGUGGUGGGCCACGAAAAAUCACAGAGCGAGUUUAGCGGAUACUGAGGUGCAAAGGUUGCCAACUUUCCCCAAAGUCAAUUGCUACAUACCUGCAAACUGAAUGUAGCCUUCAUAUUAGCUCAGGAACAGUGCAUAGAGAGCUUCAUAGAAUUGGUUUCCAUGGCCAAGCAGCUACAUCCAAGUCUUGUAAAGCCUGUUGCUACUGGACUCUCUGGAUGGACAAGUCUGGGUUUAGCCAUUGCCAGGAGAACAGUACUUCUAGGAAAGUUUGAUGCAGCAGGGAUUAUAGUGUAGGGCUGUUUUUCAGGAGUUGGGCCCGGCUUCUUGUUUCCCAUGAAAGGAACUCCAAAGAAAAUUUUGGACAAUUGUAUGCACCCAACUUUGUGGGAACAGUUCCUGUUCUAACAUGACUGUGCACCGGUGCACAAAGCUAGGUCCAUCAAGACAUGUAUGAGAGAGUUUGGUGUGGGAGAAAUUGACUGGCCUGCAAAGACUCCUGACUUCAACUCGACAGAACACCUUUGGGAUAAAUUAGAGCGGAGACUACUAGCCAGGUCUUCUCGUCCAACCUCGGUGUUGGACCUCAUAAAUGCACUUCUGAAAGAAUUCCGAUAAACACACUCUUAAACCUUGAGGAAAGCUUUCCCAGAGGAAUUGAAGCCAUUAUAGCUGCAAAGGGUCGACAUGAUAUUAAAGCCCUUGGUUUAAGAAUGGGAUGUCACGUAAUUUCAUAUAUGUAAAGGCAGACGAGCAAAUACUUUUGGUAAUAUAGUGUGUGAUGAUUUAGACUUUUUAAAUAGGAAUUUGCAUGUCUCCCUUUUGCUUUGGCAGUAUCGUCCGACUUGUGACACACAACCAGAGGGUCAGACUGAAAGUCUCCAGCAACACCUGCUAGACUAACAUAAGCUGUUCAUGGAGCUCUUGGAAAUGAGACACAUGUUUUAUUUAGUAUUUCAAUGACUCAUUGAAAAGCUUCAAGCAAUAUUCUGGUGCAGUUUGGAAUAUUUAUGUGCAAUGUUGACAGGAUUUACUGGCUGAAUCAGUUUUAUUUUAUUUAUUUUUAGACCACAGCCAACUAAGAUUUUUUGCAUUUUAAUCAGUAGUAACUGGGCUGGUACUCACAUAGCCCUUCUCUACCCUUACUGCGCUCUUUAAAACUACCAGCCAGUACUUCCAGAACCAUCUCCAUCUUAUUUUUUGUUUGUUUUAUUUGUUUGUUUUUAUAACCCACAUGCAGUGUUUUGGUUCUUUUGAUUUUUAAUGGUGUUAAUAA